Long non-coding RNA from Pipistrellus kuhlii (Kuhl's pipistrelle), 1155 nucleotides. RefSeq lists it as uncharacterized. The record is from RefSeq and is a predicted model, not a curated record. NCBI's taxonomy places the organism in Eukaryota, Metazoa, Chordata, Mammalia, Chiroptera, Vespertilionidae. The transcript has 2 exons.
UUUACUUUCUAAUUCUUAGUGUUAAAGAAUAACUUUUGGCAUGUGGACUAGUUAAUGUUUCUUUCUGACUCAUUAUUCUUUCAGUUUAGUAAAACCAUCAUUUCAUAUCUUUAUUGUUUAUUUUAAAACAAAUUCCCAUAGGUUAUUUUAAUAUACUCAAAAAGUUAUUUGUGUCUGCAUAUAUUGUGUUCAAUGAAUGUGUUCAUGCUGUAAGCAUUUUACAUUUUUAAGUUUUUUGAGAAGUUCUUCAAAGGAAUGUCUUUUUUAUAACAUUGUCUUUUCUUUAUUGCAACUUGUACUGAUUUCUAUAGUAGUAGAAGGAACAUUCACUAAUAUGGGAAGAAUAAUAAAAACACUUAUUUAUUAGUUGGCUUUAGCCUGAAAUUUGAGCUAAGAAGAGCACCUUCUACAUGCCUAUAUUUUUCACAUACAGCUCAGAGUACUCCUAUCAGGUCAAUGGUUUUAUCUCCAUUUUACAAAUGAGAAAAGUGAACCUCUGUCAAUCUUACAUAAUUGGUUCAAACCUAGGAUUUGUACAAAAGACUGCUUGGCUCUUCUCAUUACUCUAUACUUACCCAAAUGUUGGACAUUUUUAGUGUGUAACUUGCAUUAUAUAAGUGGUGUUUUUUGGGUUUUUUUUCUGUCUUCAUAGAUGUUUAAUAAAAUUUUGAACUAGCAUUGUAAAAUUACUUUGUGGGUGACAAACAUUUGAAAAAUGUUCAUAUAUUAGUAGUUGCUAGCAUAGAAGGUGUUUUUUUUUGACACACCCACACACAUAAUUGUUUUGUACAUAAAUUACAAUUAGUUAUUUAUGAAUGUAUAUACUUGUCUUACAUUCUAAUAUUUUAUGUGUGCAUAUUGUGUUCCUAUUCUUUCCUGCAUAUACCUUCAAUAAUUUUCACUAAUCACAUUAAUUCCCCAAUUAUAGGAAAGCAAUGUGCAUUUACACAUUUCUUAAGAGGAACUAUGAUUUCACCAUUAGGGUAAAAAUUAUGCAUUUCAGAAAUAUUCUUUUUUUGAAAAUCUGAAUUUAGAUUCACACAUGUUCUCCAGAAUCAUCAAGCAAUGUGACUGGUAUUUUUAGAAAAUAUUUUAGUGGUAUGAACUAGGUAUACCAUGAACUUAACUUUAUCAUCUAACAAAAUGUACGGUGAA